CGGGGAGGCUGUCCUCAGAGCAGGCCUGGCGCGCCGGUGGCUGGACCGGCCCCAGGAGCCCAGUCACCGGGCGUCAUUGGCUCAGGUUGCGGGGCCCUCGGCACCUUCUCCCGCCCGGGUCCACCGCGGCGGCGGCGGCGGCGGCGGCGUCAGGGGGCGGAGCCUGCGGAGCGCCCUUUGUCUGCGGAGGUCAACAUACCUGGCCUAAGGAGGCAGGAUUGAGUGACUCUCACUCACCACUGGUGUUUCUCUUUGAAAGUGGCGCUUGGCACCAGCAUGAAUUCCCCAUCCUCAGCAAUCCCACCGGGUGUUUUGGGUCUUCAACCUAAAAUUCUAUCUUACAAGAUCCUUGCCAGGAUGCAGAUUUGAAUACCAUAGUGAAGUCUGUACAUGAAGAAAUGAUGCUUUUAGGGAGGAAAAAAAAAGGUAAUAACAACCUUCAAGAGCCCCUACAUCUCAACUCGGCAUAAACAAGGCAAGAUUCUGAGAGUGGCCGCCCCUGGAAGCAGAAAUUAUUCUUGUGGCUAUCCAUUGGCUCCUGAGGCUCUAAUCAGAGAUGGGGCACCUUUAGUACCAGGGGAGUGGCUGUUGCCCAUAAGGUACUGGACAUCAACUUUCAAGAGCAGCCCCAGCUCCUGAAGCUGCUGGUCCUGGUGCAUCUCCUGACUUUCAUGUAGAAGAUAGCAGAGCUUUGGCAACAUUACAACAUAAGAACUGCAGAGAGGUGUAAUCCCAGUGGAAGACUGAAUCGAGAGACUCAAAAAGGAAGUUAUGCCUUCUCAGAAUGCUGUUUUUUCUCAGGAGGGGAACAUGGAGGAGAAAGAAAUGAAUGAUGGCUCACAGAUGGUGAGAUCUCAGGAAUCACUGACGUUUCAGGAUGUGGCCGUGGACUUCACCAGAGAGGAGUGGGACCAGCUGUACCCUGCCCAAAAGAACCUCUAUCGAGACGUGAUGCUGGAGAACUACAGGAAUCUAGUUGCACUGGGUGAGGAUGGCAUCCCUGUGAAACUGGAAGCCGUUCACGUGGGUUUAUUUCCUGAACUAGUGGAAGCCUGCAAAGUUUUUGUGAAUAUAGUUUGGGCUGGGAUAGAAGAACGCUAAUCAGUUUUGGAGUCAAAGACCUUUGUUUUCUGCUCUUUCUCCUCCAAUGGAAUGUCUUGAUUGAGUUUGAGAUGGGUGGCUUUAUUUUGCUGCCUCUGAAGUCUCCCCUCCAGAGGCUCUAAAGAUUGAAAAGGUUGGGAAUGUGUCUGAGAAUUUUGUUCCCAGUACAAACUCCUAAGAUAUAUGUUACUCCUAUGAAUAGGGUAUCAGCUUUGUAAGCCAGAGGUAAUCGCGCAGUUGGAGCUAGAGGAAGAAUGGGUGAUAGAAAGAGACAGCCUGCUGGAUACUCAUCCAGGUAAGUGCACACUCUUGGGCACUGCUACUUAAUGAGGGAAAACAGCCACUUCUGAACCACUCAGUGGAGUGUUCCAAAAAUCUCCCUCUGGGAUUUAAGGAAUACUAAGCCUUUUGAAAAAAAUCAGUUCAUAUUUUAUAUUUUUCUGAAUUUGAAAUGGCUGUCUUAUUUUUUCUCAUUGAACAGAUAAUAUACACUUAUAUUGUUUUAAAAAUGCACACAAACCAAAGGUUAUUUUGAAGGUAUCCAUUUAAACACCCAUAAAUAUCUUGAUAUUACAGAUAUCCACACAGCACUUUCUUUGUAUUUUUUAUUUACACAUCCCUUAUCAGUAUUCUUUAAAUCUUUCUUUUCCAUGAGAGGUGAUCCGAGAAGAAAUUUUUUAAAAAGCUUUCUUUUCCAUAUCAAAAAUCUUCUGCCAUUUUAAUCUAUUUUUCAUCUUUUCUUUUUCCUUUUAUCAAACUCUUGACACUUGUAUACAACCCACAGCCUAAUUUCUAAUUCUCUUGCUCUCCUUUGUGAUAUGACCCCGAUUCCUACCUCUACUACUAACAUUGUUUUCUUGGAGAUUACCACUAAUUUCCUUCCAGUCAAAUCCAGUGGCUACAAAGCCAGUUAGGAUUGUGUUGACUUUCCCUUCUUGAAAUGUUCUUCCACCCUGGCUUGUGAUGCACACGAUUCUUGUCUCUUCCAGCCUCUCUCUGUAUCUCCCUCUGCCCCUUUCCUGCAUUUUCUUUCUCCUUAUUCUCCUAAAAAUAUGUAUCCCUAUGGACUGGCUGUUCCACUCUGCAGUAAAGUGCUUUUAAGUAGUCCUUCUGUAUCAUUUUCCCAUUUCUCCAUUUCUAGUCCCAGUAUUUCACCCACAUUCUCCUGUCAGAAUUGAGAUUAUGGCUGGGCAUGGUGGCUUACGCCUGUAAUCCUAGCACUUUAGGAGGCCGAGGCAGAUGGAUCACCUGAGGUCAGGAGUACGAGACCAGCCUGGCCAACAUGGUGAAACCCAGUCUCUACUAAAAAUACAAAAAAUUAGCCAGGCAUGCUGGCACUCGCCUGUAGGCCCAGCUACUUGGGAGGCUGAGGCAAGAGAAUUGCUUAAACCUGGGAGCGGAGGUUGCAGUGAGCCAAGAUCGCGCCACUGCACUCCAGCCUGGGUAACAGAGCGAGACUCCAUCUCAAAAA
This 2572-nucleotide small RNA is filed under the name Pan troglodytes (chimpanzee). RNAcentral describes it as "retained intron". The record is from RNAcentral. Lineage: Eukaryota; Metazoa; Chordata; Mammalia; Primates; Hominidae.